AUGUUAAUCCCAUCAGGGGUAAGAUUUUGCAAUCUAUCUUGUCCGGCAAAGGUGAUUUUUUUUAUUUGGCGUACAUUGCAUGGAACUCUCCCAUGUCAUGUUACGCUUGCAAAUAGACACAUGAAGUUACGCACUUGUCCAUCAUGUGAAAAUGGGCCAGAAGAUACAAAGCAUGUGUUGUUCCUAUGUCAGAAAGCAAGGGAGGUUCGGAAUCGACUGAGAAUGGACGAGGUUAUUAGCAGAGCCUGUGCCAUUGAUCGUGCGGGAGAGGCUGCCCUCGAAUUUCUACUACUUUUGCCAGACCAGGAUCUUUUUAUAAUGGGCCUUCAGAAUGCUCGUGAAGUGACUUCCAUCACAGCUUGGUACUUAUGGUGGGAGAGACGUAAAUUGGUUCAUGAAGAAAAAUUCCAAAAUGCAUGCCAAAUCUCUAUGGUGUGCGUGCUUUGA
RNAcentral lists this ribosomal RNA (447 nucleotides) under Triticum aestivum (bread wheat). Its description in RNAcentral is "partial small subunit ribosomal RNA". Lineage: Eukaryota; Viridiplantae; Streptophyta; Magnoliopsida; Poales; Poaceae. The record is from RNAcentral.